UCCGUGCCAGCAGCCGCGGUAAGACGGAGGAUGCAAGUGUUAUCCGGAAUCACUGGGCGUAAAGCGUCUGUAGGUGGUUUAGUAAGUCUAUUGUUAAAUCUUGAGGCUCAACUUCAAAUCAGCAAUGGAAACUGCUAGACUCGAGUAUGGUAGAGGUAAGAGGAAUUUCCAGUGGAGCGGUGAAAUGCGUAGAUAUUGGAAAGAACACCGAUGGCGAAGGCAUCUUACUGGGCCAUUACUGACACUCAGAGACGAAAGCUAGGGUAGCAAAUGGGAUUAGAUACCCCAGUAGUCCUAGCAGUAAACGAUGGAUACUAGAUGUUGCCCGUAUCAACCCGUGUAGUGUCAAAGCUAACGCGUUAAGUAUCCCGCCUGGGAAGUAUGCUCGCGAGAGUGAAACUCAAAGGAAUUGACGGGGGCCCGCACAAGCGGUGGAGCAUGUGGUUUAAUUUGAUGCAACGCGAAGAACCUUACCAGGGUUUGACAUGACAUGAAUUCUUCUGAGAAGAAGAAGUGCCUUUUAGGAACAUGUACACAGGUGGUGCAUGGCUGUCGUCAGCUCGUGUCGUGAGAUGUUGGGUUAAGUCCCGCAACGAGCGCAACCCUUGUUUUUAGUUAUUUUUCUAGAAAGACUGCCGGUUAUAAGCCGGAGGAAGGCGGGGACGACGUCAAGUCAGCAUGCCCCUUACACCCUGGGCUACACACGUGCUACAUUGGGUAAGACAAUGAGUCGCGAGCCUGUGAAGGUCAGCAAAUCUAUAAACUUACUCUAAGUUCGGAUUG
RNAcentral lists this ribosomal RNA (783 nucleotides) under uncultured eukaryote. RNAcentral's name for it is "bacterial SSU rRNA". It matches the Rfam family "Bacterial small subunit ribosomal RNA", at positions 502 to 1300 of the family's 1533-position model. The record is from RNAcentral.